This is a long non-coding RNA of Myotis brandtii (Brandt's bat), 98 nucleotides long. RefSeq lists it as uncharacterized. Lineage: Eukaryota; Metazoa; Chordata; Mammalia; Chiroptera; Vespertilionidae. The transcript is spliced from 3 exons. The record is from RefSeq and is a predicted model, not a curated record.
CAUGUGCCCCAACCGGGGAAUUGAUCCGUGACCUCCUGGUUCAUAGGUCAACGCUCAACCACAAAGCCACACCCGCCGGGCUAGAGAGAGGAAGGGAG